RNAcentral lists this ribosomal RNA (208 nucleotides) under uncultured bacterium. RNAcentral's name for it is "partial 16S ribosomal RNA". It matches the Rfam family "Bacterial small subunit ribosomal RNA", at positions 568 to 775 of the family's 1533-position model. The record is from RNAcentral.
CGCGUAGGCGGAAUGGCAAGUCGGUCGUGAAAUCCUUCGGCUCAACCGAAGAACGUCGAUCGAAACUGCCGUUCUUGAGGAUUGCAGAGGAGACUGGAAUUCCCGGUGUAGCGGUGAAAUGUGUAGAGAUCGGGAGGAACACCGGUGGCGAAGGCGGGUCUCUGGACAAUUCCUGACGCUGAGGCGCGAAAGCGUGGGGAGCAAACGG